GAUGAACGCUGGCGGCAUGCCUUACACAUGCAAGUCGAACGGUAACAGGUCUUCGGACGCUGACGAGUGGCGAACGGGUGAGUAAUGCAUCGGAACGUGCCCAGUCGUGGGGGAUAACUGCUCGAAAGAGCAGCUAAUACCGCAUACGACCUGAGGGUGAAAGCGGGGGACCGUAAGGCCUCGCGCGAUUGGAGCGGCCGAUGUCAGAUUAGCUAGUUGGUGGGGUAAAGGCCUACCAAGGCAACGAUCUGUAGUUGGUCUGAGAGGACGACCAGCCACACUGGGACUGAGACACGGCCCAGACUCCUACGGGAGGCAGCAGUGGGGAAUUUUGGACAAUGGGCGCAAGCCUGAUCCAGCAAUGCCGCGUGCAGGAAGAAGGCCUUCGGGUUGUAAACUGCUUUUGUCAGGGAAGAAAUCUUCUGGGCUAAUACCCCGGGAGGAUGACGGUACCUGAAGAAUAAGCACCGGCUAACUACGUG
Molecule: ribosomal RNA, 482 nt
Filed under: uncultured bacterium
Lineage: Bacteria
Description: partial 16S ribosomal RNA
Rfam family: Bacterial small subunit ribosomal RNA
Source: RNAcentral